This 440-nucleotide ribosomal RNA is filed under the name uncultured bacterium. RNAcentral describes it as "partial 16S ribosomal RNA". It matches the Rfam family "Bacterial small subunit ribosomal RNA", at positions 338 to 795 of the family's 1533-position model. The record is from RNAcentral.
CCUACGGGUGGCAGCAGUGGGGAAUAUUGCACAAUGGGGGAAACCCUGAUGCAGCGACGCCGCGUGAGUGAAGAAGUCAUUCGUGUUGUAAAGUACUUUCAGCAGGGAAGAAAAUGACGGUCUUUGACUAAGAAGCCCCUGCUAACUACGUGCCAGCAGCCGCGGUAAUACGGAGGGGGCAAGCGUUAUCCGGAUUUACUGGGUGUAAAGGGAGCGGAGGCGGCAGUGCAAGUCUGAAGUGAAAGUCGGGGGCUCAACCCCCGGACUGCUCUUGAAACUGUACGGCUGGAGUGCAGGAGAGGUAAGUGGAAUUCCUGGUGUAGCGGUGAAAUGCGUAGAUAUUAGGAGGAACACCAGUGGCGAAGGCGGCUUACUGGACUAUAACUGACGUUGAGGCUCGAAAGCGUGGGGAGCAAACAGGAUUAGAUACCCCGGUAGUC